GAUGAGGCGGAAAAAGAGUAACUCAAGAUCUAAACCUCUACCACCUUCAAAGAGGUUGAGAUUGGAGGCACAAAGAGUUCUCAAAGAGAGAGUUCAAGAUAUAGCUGAUAAAAAGGGCAUCAAGCUGAGGUUCUGCACCUUAAAGGACUGUGAAAGUCACAUCCAGUCCCUUGAUAGCCCUUGUACAAACAUAAGGAUGGAGAUUGGAUGGCCAGCGGGAGUUCCAUUUGUUCACCCACAUGAUCUCCCAAAUAAGGCUAAGAUUGUACCUUAAAGGACUGUGAAAGUCACAUACAGUCCCUUGAUAGCCCUUGUACAAACAUAAGGAUGGAGAUUGGAUGGCCUGCGGGAGUUCCAUUUGUUUACCCACAUGAUCUCCCAAAUAAGGCUAAGAUUGGAUUUCUUGAA
RNAcentral lists this long non-coding RNA (408 nucleotides) under Nicotiana benthamiana. Its description in RNAcentral is "long non-coding RNA (NBEN_LNC021583)". The record is from RNAcentral. Lineage: Eukaryota; Viridiplantae; Streptophyta; Magnoliopsida; Solanales; Solanaceae.